Long non-coding RNA from Rhincodon typus (whale shark), 377 nucleotides. RefSeq lists it as uncharacterized. The record is from RefSeq and is a predicted model, not a curated record. The transcript has 3 exons. NCBI's taxonomy places the organism in Eukaryota, Metazoa, Chordata, Chondrichthyes, Orectolobiformes, Rhincodontidae.
ACCCCCAAAAUGGUGUCUGUACCAGUACCAAGUGACCUUUAUGCCUGACAUUGAGUCUAAACGUUUAAGGAUGGCAUUGCUGUUCAGCCACAGUGAUCUUCUAGGAACAAUCAGGGCAUUUGAUGGAGCUAUGUUGUUCCUUCCAAACAAACUGCAAAAUCAAGUUACAGAAGUGACAAGCAUGAUGAAUGAUGGUCAGAUGGUGAAUAUAACAAUUCUACUGACAAGUGAAUUUCCGCAGAAUUCUCCAAUGUGUGUCCAGUUCUUGAAUAUCGUCAUUAAAAAAGUUAUGAAAAUGCUGUCUCUGUACCAAAUUGGGCAGAACUUUUAUAACACGUCAACUCCAAUUCACAUUCCUCAACAUAGGUAUGUCAUUU